AUCCAGCUGACGAGUUCCAAAUAGGACGAAACGCGCGACGUGGAU
Non-coding RNA from Schistosoma rodhaini, 45 nucleotides. The record is from Rfam. NCBI's taxonomy places the organism in Eukaryota, Metazoa, Platyhelminthes, Trematoda, Strigeidida, Schistosomatidae.